This 443-nucleotide ribosomal RNA is filed under the name uncultured bacterium. RNAcentral's name for it is "partial 16S ribosomal RNA". It matches the Rfam family "Bacterial small subunit ribosomal RNA", at positions 338 to 795 of the family's 1533-position model. The record is from RNAcentral.
CCUACGGGGGGCAGCAGUGGGGAAUAUUUGGCAAUGGAGGCAACUCUGACCCAGCAACGCCGCGUGAAUGAUGAAGGUCUUCGGAUUGUAAAGUUCUGUGAUGGGGGAUGAACACAAUGACGGUACCCCAAUAGCAAGCCACGGCUAACUACGUGCCAGCAGCCGCGGUAAUACGUAGGUGGCAAGCGUUAUCCGGGAUGACUGGGCGUAAAGGGUGCGUAGGUGGUUUAGUAAGUUGCCGGUGUAAUUCCGGGGCUCAACCUCGGCGCUACCGCCAAAACUAUUAGACUAGAGUGCAGGAGGGGUAAGUGGAAUUCGUAGUGUAGCGGUGGAAUGCGUAGAUAUUAGGAGGAACAUCAGGGGCGAAGGCAGUUCACUGGACUGCAACUGACACUGAGGCUCGAAAGUGUGGGUAUCAAACAGGAUUAGAUACCCUAGUAGUC